RNAcentral lists this ribosomal RNA (691 nucleotides) under uncultured Fusobacteriota bacterium. Its description in RNAcentral is "bacterial SSU rRNA". It matches the Rfam family "Bacterial small subunit ribosomal RNA", at positions 61 to 776 of the family's 1533-position model. The record is from RNAcentral. Lineage: Bacteria; Fusobacteriati; Fusobacteriota.
GUCGACUCGAGUCUUCGGACUUGGGUGGCGCACGGGUGAGUAACGCGUAAAGAACUUGCCUCUUAGACCGGGACAACAUCUGGAAACGGAUGCUAAUACCGGAUAUUAUGGUUUUUUCGCAUGGAGGAAUCAUGAAAGCUGGAUGCGCUAAGAGAGAGCUUUGCGUCCCAUUAGCUAGUUGGUGAGGUAACGGCCCACCAAGGCAAUGAUGGGUAGCCGGCCUGAGAGGGUGAACGGCCACAAGGGGACUGAGACACGGCCCUUACUCCUACGGGAGGCAGCAGUGGGGAAUAUUGGACAAUGGACCGCAAGUCUGAUCCAGCAAUUCUGCGUGCACGAUGACGUUUUUCGGAAUGUAAAGUGCUUUCAGUCGGGAAGAAGUCAGUGACGGUACCGACAGAAGAAGCGACGGCUAAAUACGUGCCAGCAGCCGCGGUAAUACGUAUGUCGCAAGCGUUAUCCGGAUUUAUUGGGCGUAAAGCGCGUCUAGGCGGCAAGGAAAGUCUGAUGUGAAAAUGCGGAGCUCAACUCCGUAUGGCGUUGGAAACUGCCUUACUAGAGUACUGGAGAGGUAGGCGGAACUACAAGUGUAGAGGUGAAAUUCGUAGAUAUUUGUAGGAAUGCCGAUGGGGAAGCCAGCCUACUGGACAGAUACUGACGCUAAAGCGCGAAAGCGUGGGUAGCAAACAGG